AUACAGAGGGUGCGAGCGUUAAUCGGAAUUACUGGGCGUAAAGCGCACGUAGGCGGUUUAUUAAGUGAGAAGUGAAAGCCCUGGGCUUAACCCAGGAACGGCUUCUCAUACUGGUAGACUAGAGUAUGGGAGAGGAGGAUGGAAUUUCCGGUGUAGCGGUGAAAUGCGUAGAUAUCGGAAGGAACACCAGUGGCGAAGGCGAUUCUCUGGACCAUAACUGACGCUGAGGCGCGAAAGCGUGGGGAGCAAACAGGAUUAGAAACCCCAGUAGUCC
Molecule: ribosomal RNA, 274 nt
Filed under: uncultured bacterium
Lineage: Bacteria
Description: partial 16S ribosomal RNA
Rfam family: Bacterial small subunit ribosomal RNA
Source: RNAcentral